This 458-nucleotide unclassified non-coding RNA is filed under the name Hevea brasiliensis (rubber tree). The record is from RNAcentral. Lineage: Eukaryota; Viridiplantae; Streptophyta; Magnoliopsida; Malpighiales; Euphorbiaceae.
GGCAAAGUAACAGUUCUACACACUAAGCACCAAAAGCAAAGGGGCAUCAAAUAAGGAAACUUGCACAAGCUUUCCCAAGAUAACUGAAUUCAACCCAAACACAGGACUGACAUCAGUGCAUGUCUAUAAGGCAAUACAUGAGAGCGUGUGUAUGUGCAGGUGUUGGUAUUUGUUGUGUUUUGCGUAUGUACAGGUGUUGGUAUCUGUUGUGUUUGGCAUAUGUGUGGGUGUCGUAUCCGUUGUUUCGUGUAUGUGCGGCUGUCAUAUCUGUUGUGUUUCGUGAAUGUAUCCACAAAUAGAUUACAAGCAGACAAGUACAAAGUAAGCCAUAUUUAUUUGUUCCUUAUGGAAUUACUACGAAGGACUUGGCACCAAUUGAAAAUGUUUAUAUAGAUAAAACAUUAAUCAUGAGUAGAAUAUGGAACAACAGACAACAGAUAAGUCAUUUGAAGAGGUUC